This is a long non-coding RNA of Tympanuchus pallidicinctus (lesser prairie-chicken), 12659 nucleotides long. RefSeq lists it as uncharacterized. The transcript has 3 exons. NCBI's taxonomy places the organism in Eukaryota, Metazoa, Chordata, Aves, Galliformes, Phasianidae. The record is from RefSeq and is a predicted model, not a curated record.
AUUGACAGAUUAACUAGUAAACAAUUGUUUUGGCAUUUUAAAUACAUGGCUGGUUUGCCUCAUCAUUCAGUCUCCACUUAAAAACAAGAAAAUCCAAUAGCAAAUAAGAAUUAAAAUAGUGUACUCGUGUGUAAAGAUAGUUAAAAUUGAAAGGAUCUAUUUUGAAUAUGCAGGACAUUAAGCUGUAAAAAAAUCCAAGUCUUUCUUUUUGAAGUAUUUAAGCGCUGUAGGUGAAAGAUAAAUAUAAAUGUGAACAUUCACAAUAGAAACAAAAGUACCUUUAUAAAUAACUGUUCUCUCGUUCACACUGCUAAGAUCAAAAUUAAAACACAGCUCAUGGCUCACAGCAAACAUACGAGGGAGAUUUGAAGGUAGAAUGCUGGAAGUUUUGACACAAAGUCUUUGAGGUAUCUAAAGUAACUCUUAAAUUUGAAGCAUUUAGAAAGCCUUUCAUGCCUUCCUAGAACAAACUAGUUAAUGAGAAUGUUAAAAUAUUACAAAAGGCUUACAUGUGAAAAUGUUACUGAAAUGAGAUAAACAAUAACUCUAGAUGAGAAUAGCAAUCUGAAAUUAAGUGGAAGGAUCAAUAAACUAAAGAGAGCAGAUUGAGAACAUUGAGUAGCUGGAGAAAGAUGUCUCAUUCAGUAUAUGAAAGGGAAAAAGAAUAUGUUAGUGUUUAUUGUUCACUAAGGUCAGUGGAAAUAAUAAAACAAAGCUUACUAUUAAAAAGCUGUUUUUAAUUGAUUGUAGAGCACAUUAUAGUGCAGUCUUAUGAUCAAUGCAGUUGCCACCAUUUCCCUAGAUUUGAAUGCGUAGCUUUCUAAGAAUGGAUAAAGGUGAUGGUGUAGUUGGAACAAAAAGUUGCCGACUACUGACAACUCAUAGCUGUUUGACAACAAACCCUUGACCACAAAUGUUGUUAUGGCUGGAGGUAGUGGAACAUCAUGAUCUAGGGCACUACCUGCUCCUGCUCACUUGGGAGGUAAAAUGGAAAAUGAAAGGAGCUGGAAAAAAAAGCAUGGAUGAGCAGUUACAGACCAUGGAAUUUAAAUGAUGCAUGCGGCUCCCUACCAUUUCCCUGUGCAACUGCUCUUGCAGCAUGCUGGACCUGUGAUUGUAGAUCCUAGAGAGAUUAAAUUCUGGUAACUGCAGCUCCCACAAUGCACAGAAUCACACUGUGUCAAGGAUUGAAAGGGACCUCAAAGAUCAUCUAGUCCAAUCCCCCUGCCUUAGCAGGAAUGCCUUGAUUAGGUCACACAGGAACGCUUCCAGACAGGUUUUCAAUGUCUCCAGAAAAGGAGACCCCACAACCUUCUGGGCAGCCCAUUCCACUGCUCUGUCACCCUCACAGUAAAAAAGUUUUUUCUCAUGUUUUUGUGGAACCUCCUGUGUUCCAGCUUGCACCCAUUGCCCCUUGUACUAUCACUGCAUGUCACUGAGAAGAGCCUGGCUCCAUCCUCCUGAUGGAGGAUGGAGGAUCCUCCUUUACACGUUUAUAAAUGUUGUUGAGGUCACCCCUAAGUCUCCUCCAAACUGAAGAGGUCCAGCUCCCUCAGCCUCACCUCGUAAGGGAGAUGCUUCAGUCCGUUAAUCAUUUCUGUGGAUCAACAACAAGGCCAAGCAGCUGCUGAUGAAGGUAAUGAGUUGGUUUCAGUGCUGGAAAUUAAGUUUUAAGAAUUUUGGAGGAUGUUCUUACCCAGAGGUUUCAAAGGUAUUCCAGAGAAAGUAAAUGAGGUACUAUGAUAGUGGCACCCUCUCAAGGGUCCAUAAAAGCCUGAGGUCCGGGAACAGGUGAUUCACUGCCUGGCUGGGGUGAUGACUCUAAAGGGGCAGGGGAGCAGCCACCUGUGGGCAGACAGGCUCUGACUCAGUCAAAUGCUGCGUAAACAGCAAAGGGGGUAAAACUCUCAGUGUUCUAUUACAUUUAGCUGAAAGAGUCUGGGGAGUAGAAUCCGCUACUGAACUUUUUCCAUUCUGUCAGUACGUAGGGACAGGGUACACAGCCUUUUUCUAUCACGAUUGGGCAGCCUGCAUUCAAACACAAAAGGUUAUGUAAUUCAUUCAGUCACUGUGUAAAAGGGUAAUUCUUUGUAGCUAGGCUGUGCUUAGCUCACAGUGAGUCAUUUUUAGGAGGAGAGAUCAUACACAUUGUUAAAAAUAAGCUUUUGAAGACAGCAGUUCUUUCAUGCCAACUAUGUCCUGUUUAGAUCAGCGGAUUAAACAACCCAAGGCUGUAAGUAAAAGUUUCUCAGUGAAUCAAAAAAGAAAAGGGACAAGUUUCACUCCUAGGUUCUGAAAGGGAGUCAUAGGAUUGGCAUUACCUCUUAAAAAAUUAGGUUCUAAAAAUCUUUAAGCGUUUUUACAGAAAAAAAAAGAAGUUUUCAUUUUGCAUCUGAAUGACAGCAUUUGCUUUGUAACUCCCUAAAAAGAGAAUGUAGCAAACAAAAGGCAAAGAGGCAACAAUCAAAUAUGUGAAAUGACUCAUCUUCAAAUGAGAAAAGAAGCCAAUUUCUGAACAGCAUGGACUUAUGGAAAAUAAAAUGUUUGCCUUCAAUUUUUCAGGCCAUCCCGCCAUUAUCAUUCAGCAAUCAGAAGCUGCAACAUAGAGUGAGGUUGCUGUAACAUGGCUAUGAAAGCUCACAGUGCAACGGUUCUUUCCUCUGCUUGUGCUUGCUCUUUAUUUCUGUUACCUAGUAAAACUAAUUAUUCCACUCUCUAUAUGAUCCUUUACACAUUUUUUGUUAGCUAUGACCCUCAGUGCUACCUGUGACCACCUUAUCCAUCUUUGACAAAUUCACAUCUCUUAGAUCUGUCACUCUCUGAAUCACUUUUUUUCUAUUUACCUUUCUCAAACUGAUUUGCUUUCUGCCUGAGUUACUCUAUAUCUUGUUACUUACUUUCUUCUUUUGUUUCCUAGUGGAAAGAUUUUCUGUUUGUCUGAUUCACCCUUCUGUUUUCACUUCUCAUUCUUUCUCAUCGUCAUUAUUUUGUCAGUUUUUGUUUUCAUUCUGUGAUUUAUCUCCUAUCCUGACUGCACAGAGCAGCAUCUUUUUAGUUAAUUCAUUUCCUAUUGAUUCUUAAUCUUUCCUUCUCUUUCCUCUCCAUGACUCAGCUUCUGUUUCCCAUAGUUUAUGUUUUUAUUGUAUUCAAAGGUAUUUUUUGCUUAUUCAGCAUCAACUACUGAAACUUUCAAAGGGAGUGAAUACACAUAGAUGGCUCUGUGCUGAAUAGGAUGAUGUCAGCUACACAGCUUCUGAAAGCACAUUUCAUUCCACUGACUUGUCAAUAGUUAGAAACAACAGAACAAUUCAGUCUUUUAUAUCUGUAAGAUAUAGCUCCUGCAUUAGUCUGCUGCUAUUUAUUUCAAUUUUAUUCCCCUUAGAUCUUGCAAUUAUAUGGGAAAUUGAUGUAGCUGUUUAAAAGAAAUACAUUGCAUGAUUCUGCAAAAAUAAACCCCAACCCAUUUAAUGACAGCCAAUGAUCAUGGAAUCACCUCUUUAAAUUAAUUAGUAAGUCAACAGCAUUACAAUUUGCAAAGCAAUUAUAUUUACUUUCAGCUUUGUAGACAUCUUUCAAACUUGCAGAAAUGUGGAUUAUUUUCAAAGCAGCAUGUCAGCAUUGCAAGACUAUAACUACUAUAUGAAUGGAGCAUGCUACUGCUUUAAUCUCAGUUAUUGAAAAAGUUGCAGUACUGCAAGUAUCAUUUAACAAAUGAUAGAUGUCCUCUUUCUCUCUUCUACUCGACCUCUUUGAUCUUAGUAGAAUUUCUUUCAGCUCUAGUAUCCCAUCUUACAGCACACCUUCCCACACAGUUCAAUUUUCUGCAUACUACCAUGAUGUAUGACACUAUAAGAGAGAGAUGUGAAGGAUAUGUAUGUUUCGUGUUGAUUCACGAUUGAAUGUUUGAGUCUCAGUGGAAAAUUUAAAAAAGAUUCAGUUCCGGAAUUUCAAGAAAGAAUCGCAGCCAAUGGUUUGAUUUAUUAGGCAAUUGAAUGGAGCUUUCCAAUUCAAUUUCUCAUUUAAUACUUUUAUUAUAGUUUAUUCAUAGAUUAUUUCCUUUGGAGACAGUAUUAAAUCUUCUAGUCUGACUUUCAUUAUAGCACAGGCUAUUAAACUUUACAUAAAUACUUUUAUAGAGGCCAGUAACUCCUAAAGGAAAUCUGAAUCAUCUUCCAAGAGAUAUUCACUACUGAUUUUAUAACAUCAACAGUGAAAAACUCCAUCUCCUCUGACAAUUGUUCUUGUUGUUUGACAGACUCACUGUUAACAAAAUAGCAAAAUAGAUAUGUGCCCAAUUUUUUAUUUUGAAUAUUUGUUGUUUUCGCUUGUUCCCCCUGGGAAGCCUUUAAUGCUUAGUACAGCUUCCUUUUGAAUGUACUUAUACAUUCUUAUUAGGACACCUUCUAUUUGAUAAGUGAAAGUUAGACAUAGCUCUCAGGACUUACUUUAGUACUGGGUUAUUUCUGAUGAACAAUCUCCAACUUAAUUCUUAACCCAUGUUAACAAUCAUGUUGGAAGUCUUUGUCAGAUAUUCUGUGUAUUUACUCAGUGGCUCGAUACAUAAGGAGUUAUGUAUAUAUACUUCACAUUCUUUGUGUUGCUAUAAUUUCUUUUUGCAUCCAGGCACAAACAUAAGUGUAGCAGUGGCUAGAAUGUUCCUGAGACUAACUGACCAAAGGAAAAAUUCCAACCUUCAUCCUAUGUAGGCACCAACAAUCUGAUUGACAGAAUAACACCACAGAAGAAGAAAGUCAAGGCCAUUGAUGCAGUGAUGCAACAAUGAUGUCUGGUACAGUGAAAUAUUUUCUUCAAACUUGAAGUCACUUUUGUGCUUCUUCUCCCCUUUUCUUUCAACUGUCUUACAAAGUGUUGAAACCACAACUGCACACACCAGGAAUUUUGUGUAGAGAGGGAGAAUUGCCUCCAUAUUCCCUCUAUAUAGCUCUCGAUUUUAAACACCAUAAAAACUUUUUAUAGCAGAUAAAACAAGGAAGUAAUAUGCCUUCCCUACUAAAACCUGCCAUUGUUUUCCAGGAUCCAGAUUCUGUCCUGUUAAUUAAAGUCUACCAUCUUAUUCCUCAUCCUUGUCCUUCUGACAGUUUGUGUGUUUUGAUGAGCUCGGCAUCCUCCCUUGCAAUCCGGAAUACUGUGUUUAGUUGAUUAGAGUUUGUUUGUUUGAUUGAUUGACGCUUGCAUUCAUUGCCUCUUCGGACCACUCACAAAGGUUAACACCACUGAUUUUUUAAUUUUUUAUUUUAUUUUUAUUUAUUUCUACUAAUAGACUUAAUGAAGAACACAGAGCUGAUGAAAAUGAAGUUAAGAACUAUGACUACUCUCUAGAGACAUUUCCUAAAAAUGCUAUCAUCAGUAAUAACUCCUUGCUGAUAAGUACUUUUGAGACCUGUAAGACAGUUCUUAAUCCAUUUAAGGAUGUACUUUACUGAUACUGCAAAUCCUUAUACUUUUAUCAACAUGUCAUGUAUAGCAAAUCAAAUGCUUUGCAGAAAUAACCUACAUAUUGCCUUCAACAAUAACUGUAAUAAAUAAAAAAAUAAAGCCUGUUUUUCAUAAAAAUUUUACUAAGCUUAAUUAUAAAUGAUAUUAAUAUUGUUUAUUAAUUAUAAAUCUUCCAUUUUAUAUUUUAUCAAAAGAACUUUUAUAAUUUGUCCACCAUUUUGCCAAGAACUGGUGUUACCUAGCACAUCUCUUUUGACCUGCUCAUCCCUCUUGACUUCUUGGAUAUUCACAAAAUACCAGUAUGAUUUUUAUCUUCAAAAUUAUCCAUAUGCAAAGAGGAAUCCUGACAUUUGAAGGAGACAGUCCUAAAAGUCACUGAUUUUAGGACUCUGGGGUGUGAGCUAUCUGGGCUUGUCAGCAAGACAUUUUCUCAAGAUAAUAUGUCAUUUAAAGUCCACAUUAGCUACUAAUGGUGCAAUUAAUCUCACCUAAAUUCUUCUAAAAUUAGUUGUCUAAGUUACCUAGGAUCCCCUGAAUCGAGAAAGAAAGAUAAGAUCCUGCAUAGACCUAACUGAUUCCAUCUAUCCUGAUAUAACUUGAAGAUAAUCAGAUAAAUUUAAAUAUGUACCUGUAACAUAUUUCUAUAAAUACAUAAAUAUUGAUAAUACUAGGUAAAAAAAAACAUUACAUAGAUACAUAUCUUGCAACACUUUCUGUGAAGAGAAUUCUGAGGAAUCCUAAAACAAGUGUGAGGGUGAGACCAAACAAACACCAGUCAUGCUUUUAAGGACUAUUGUCUUGAUGUCUGCUAAAGAAAACCAGGCAUGUUCCAUGAGAUCCAGACAAGGGGUCACAUAACUUACAGUGUGUACAAAAUCAAACAUGUACAGACAUCUUCCAGCCCAGAAGGCCAACUGUGUCCUGGGUUGUAUCAAAAGAAACAUGACCAGCAGGUCAAAGAAGGUAAUUCUGCUUUUGUGAGACCCCACCUGAAGUACUGCAUCCAGUUCAGGGGUCCCCAACACAAGAAGGACGUGGAGCUGUUGGAGCAGGUCCAGAGGAAGGCCACGAAGAUGAUCAGAGAGGGCUGGAGCACCUCCCCUACGACGACAGGCUGAGCGUGCUGGGGCUCUUCAGCCUGGAGAAAAGAAGACUCUAGGGGCACCUUGUAUGGAAGUGGCCUUCCAGUACCUGAAGAGGACCUACAGGAAAGCUGGGUAGAGAUUUUUCAUAACGGCAUGUAGUGAUAGGGUAAGGGGAAAUGGUUUUUAAAAGAGCGGGGGUAGAUUUAGACAAGAUAUUAGGAAGAAAUUAUUUACGGUGAGGGUGCUGAGACACUGGAACAGGUUGCCCAGAAAGGAAGGUGGAUGCCCCUUUCCUGGAAGCAUUCAAUGCCAGGCUGGAUGGGACUUUGAGCCACCUGGUCUGUGGGAGGUGUCCCUGCCUAUAGCAGAGGAUAGUUGGAACUAGAUGAUCUUACCCAAAUGAUUCUAUGAUUCUGUGAAUUAUAGAAGCUGUUCCUGACUUCAUGGUGGGAGCCUUCUUUAGUAGCUGUGUGUGAUCACCUGCUUCAAAACUAAGCACGCAGAAGUGAGCUCAGUGGUGAUCUGCUGAUCUGCACUGCAACUGCAAGAGUUGUUUAUUAUGGUGUGCAGACCUGAUUCUUUCCUGAGGUCCGAUUGUAAUUUAGAUGCUGCAGAUGGUAAAUAAUAUGGACAGUGUAGCCAGUUAUGUUUUUCCUGAAAAUCUGAUGGAAAUUUGUCACAUACUGACUGCAGGUCAUGUUCAGAUAUCCAAAAAAGGAAUGCAAUGAGAGAUUACUGAAAAUGAAGUGAGGCAAUAACCUGUCCAGAAAUGGAAAGAGAGCAGUAGAAACAACAAUUCAAAAGGAUCAUAAUCAUUGUUUAUCCAACUCUAAGAAAGGAAUAAUUCCUUGCCAGUUAGAACCAUGAUUCAAUUAGGUUCUAAUCUACAGACAGAGAAUGCCUUCUGUGGCCAGUUAGGAAACAUAGACCAAGUUCUUGAAGGCAUGGAUAUUGACAUGAAGUUAGGGAAUCAAAAAAACAUGAGCAAUUUAGAGUGUUUGGGAAACAAAAUGAAAACAGAGUCCAAGCCCGUGAGUACUUGCAAAAUUUAUAAUAAGAAGCAGAAGGAUAUAAAUUGUGGGAAUGUGAUGCAAUCACAGAAGGGUUAUGGAUAACAGCUGUGUUAUGAGAUUUCCGGGAAAAGGAAACUAGUAUGGAAAGGAGCUGACACUUCCCAGAAGAAGGAGUGACCUAAACCAAAAAUUAAGUGAGGCACAGGCUGUUGUUCAGAUUAUACUAUAAAAUAAAAGGAAACAUCAUAAAGAUUGCAUCCAAAAAAAUCAACUGAAAAAUAAGUUAUCAGUAAAACUGGACAUGGCACAAAUCAGUUAAAGUGGAAUUAGAUGCCACUCAGCUUAGAGCUAUAGCAAAGGAAAAAGAGGCCUCAGCAGGAAAGCUUGUGAAGUUGCAAUAAUUAACUGUAUGUACAUUGUCUCUUGAGUCCAAACUAAAUUAAAUUUUUAUGAUACUUUUGUUGAAUUUAGUAGUCUGGUUAGACCAAUGAUUUUCACUUUUAAGCACGUCAGAGUAUAUCCACAAGUGCUUUGGUUAGAAAUAGUCUAAACAAAAAAGGAUCUGUGUGAUAUAAUCACAGUGAUGUUGACGUGAAUCUUCAUUCUUCAACUCCUAAAACAAUACCUUGUAUUUUGUUAAUUAGGAUGAAUUUUUUCAGAAUCUCAGCUAUGAUAAACAAGUAUUUAGUCCCAUUUGUGUUGGCCUGUAUUGCAUAUGUUGCUCGACUGGCUCUACUAACGAUGAUGCUAAAUCCAUCCAGUUUACACAAAUCCAUGUGUUUCUUGUGUAAACUUCUGAAACUUUGUCUCCUAUUUCCCACUACUGUUCCUGUUUGUGACUAUUAUCUGUUUAUUUAUUCAUUCACAAUCACUCUCUAACUGUUCACCUACACUUCCAGCAAAGUUAUUCUGCAGCGUCUCUAACCAGUGAUCAGUUAAAAGCUCAUGGUUGCCUUCAGCUAUCAACUGCUUACAGCUGCCUUUGUUGUGUCGUUCUGUUGUUUGUUUUUUUUUUCCAGUUCUCUUCAAGGCAAAGUCUCAAGAAACAUAACAGUGGACCACAGUGGUUGCUCUUACAGUAUGUGAGUAUGGUAGACAGCUUCUCAUCCCAUUUCUUAUUGCUGGCUUUUAUUAAUUUUCAGAGAGCUCUGUUGGUCAUUCUGCUGGUACAUUCCAUUUGUCCAGAACUUUGGCGUGCAUGACACAUUAUAUAAUUGCAUUGCAGUUAACUGUGUGAUGGCUCUUUUCAUGAGAACAGCUUUCAUCCGCUUUGUAAGUGGGCCAAAAGUAAUUAAAUGGUAUUAGUUCCCCCAAGCGGUGAUCCAAAUGGGUCCUGUGUAAUCAGCCUGCACCCUGCCUCCCCAAAAAAUACCUUUACUGCAGCUGGAUUUGUCUUGGAUUUAUUAGAGCAUUUACAAUAGCUGAUGCUAGUCAGGCAUGCAGCUAUUUUCUGUACCUUGGCAACCAUCACACCAUAAUAACUCCAUCUAACAUUAGAGGAUAAGCUUAUUCAUGUACAGAUCAAGUCAGUGUACCAGAGCUCAUCCUCACAGACCAUCUUCUUCUGCUCGUAUUACUUCCUUUUAUUAGAAAAAUACCAACUCCUGUUUUAGAAGAGAGUCUAAGAACCCAUAAGUCCAGCUUUCCAAAGACAUUGUGGAAAGUCAAGUCAUUCAAAUUUGGAGUGGAAAGAUACAUAUGUUUCAAAUUAACUCAAGUAACAAUUCCAUUAAAUUUCUUAAUUAUUCAACUGGAAUAUAUGCUGAGCAAAACCUGUUCAAGCAAUGGACUGAGAAAUAUUUGAAAGUGAAAGGGAGAGGUAGCAUUUUAAGUACUUUGUUAGGAAAUUUAAGUGAAGUGAACGGAACACUGAAUACUGUAGACCUUGAAUACUUUGGGAAUGAAUUAUCACUGAUGGGCAAUGAUGUGAUUAAAGCAUUUCUAUAGAGAAAUGAAAGGCUACAGAUUUCGGUACACAGCCAAGGAGAAUUAUUGCUCCUUGGAAAAGCUGUGUUUUCAUUAGCUUCAAGUGCUAUACUAAUUGCAGAUGAAUGUUGUUGCAAUAUUAUUACAUCCAUGCACUUUGCUGAUAUUAAAAUACAUUAUUUCAGGGAAUAAUAGAAGCAAAAAUAAACUAAUGCAGUACUGAAAAGUCCACCACCCUAAACUGUUAUUAGAAGAUGGAAAAUCAUCAAGUGUAUCUUUACAACAUAGUAGUCUAUGUGGAGCUGUAUUGCAGAUAUAUGUUAAGGACCACACAUAUACAACGACCUUUGGAAUGGCAAAAUUCAUACUUCGUCAAAAACAGGUGUUCCUCAGGAAGGAGCUGGGUGGGUAGUUUCAGAAAGGUAUUGUGAUGGCAUUUUUGCUGUACAGAAAUGGAAACACUCAUUAUAAAGAGUUAUUCUGGUCCAAAAGUCAACUGGUAUAGAUCUUAAAAAAGAUGUACUGCAGUAUCUUCAGAGUAAGACAGCAUUGUAAAGUUGAAAUUCACAUUCUACAGUAAGUUUUCUGUUCAGUACUUAUGUUUCAAGUGUACAAGCAAACAUCAUUCUGGAAUCAUAAUAAGUGAAAAUUACACAUAAACCUUCCAAGUAGAUGACAACUACUACUGUAACAGAAACAAUGGGAGCAGAAUGGAAAAAAAUGUAAAAGAAAGCUUUUUCUUAUGAAUUUGUAGUGAAGCAAUCAGUGAUAGUCUCAGCAAAUCAAGAAGAAAAUUGAAAAUCAUUAGCAAGAAAUUACAGUAUGGGCAUCAGAGGUGAAGAGACAGUAAUUCUUGGUGGGACAGGCAAUUCUGUUAAGUGUAUCAUUUCAUUCAUUACUGAGCCACUAGCAACGCUGUUGUAUACAUGCUAGUAAUUUGUUACAUUUAUUAUCUUAAGAUUACUUUCAACAAGGUACAGAAAAGUCAAUACUUUAUGAUGUAAAUAUAGAAUGCUUCUUGAACAGGACAGUGAUUAUAGGAAGCCUAGAGAGUGAACAGGUUCAACUGCACUCUUACAGUGAUUGUGAUUUGAACAGGUCACCAUGAAGGAGAGAAUUAUUGCAGCCUGAAGAGAAGCUAAUAAAUCUGAGCACGUACCAGUAACAUUUCUAAAAUAUACAGAUAUUAAUGAUACACGGGUGACAAGUACUAUAUCUAUGUAAAAACACUUUCCUGAGAACAGUGCUGCAUACAGAGAAUUUUCAGGAAUUCCUUUCUUCAUUUACCACUGAAUGAAAAAUGUCAAGCAAAACUUACCUGACUUCUUACUUGACUAUGGAAUCAAUCUAUUAAUAGGUUCACUUCACAAAUAUGGGGAUUUUUUUUUUCCUAGCCCAGCAUAUCAUGUCACGCAAGUUUUCUCAAAUUUAGAAAUACAUCUGCUAUUUAACAAAUGCACAUAAACUAAAUAACAUAUAAUGCUGAAUGGCACUGUCCAUAGUUGGUUCAUCAUAAACGUACUAACACUUCCAGUCCCAAGGUAACCAUAAACUCCAAGCCCAGAGAUAACUCACUUUAUUGUAACUGCCCCAUUGGAGUUCAAAAUAGACCUGUGAUGAAGGAAUUAACUUGUCCUGACUUUAUUGGAUCAGACACUGGAUUUCACUGCAAUCCUAGUUAAGAUUAGCUACUGCCUGUAAACAGACUGCAGGUCAGGGACCAGCUUGCUCUCUCAUCUCAGCAAAGUGAAGCUCCCUCAAAGGAGCUGCCUGAAAUGUAUCACAGCUGCUGUGAGAGGUUGCUGAGCUGCCAGAAACCUCACUCAAAGGAACAAAGGCCUGGAUGAGAAAUUGCUGCCCAGAAUAAUAUUAGGGUAAGAAUAGUAAUGCUUCACGCUUCUGAAUGGCCUUCACCUUUGGGUCUGAAGUUAAUAGGAAAGAGAAAGAAAAGCCUUUUGAGGCAUAUCAUUCCAUCUGAUGCUGUUCCUUUGAGUUUAGUGGGAGGAGUGUAAAAUGUUGGCAACUCAGAGAUCAAAGACCUACAAGCAUAAACUGUGAAAAGCAGGGCCGAAGUGCAGCAAGUCAGACAUACUGAAGAUAGACACAGAAAUGACUUGCUAAAUUAUUUAACAGUAUGAGUAAUGUUUUGUCUUCAUGCUGCCGCUUUUUAUGGCAUCUAAAUCAAUUUGUUUCCCUAAAUAGAUUCUGGUGCUUUUCUGCAGUAACUGGAGAUUACUUCCACCUCUUUAGCUCUAUCAGUAAAAAAUGAAAUUAGCUUUAUCACUUCACUGUAAUUUUUUAGCAAAUUACAUAAUUAAGAAACAAUAUCUUGGUUGAAAAUAUGAAAUGGCAAAAGCUAUGUUCAUGACUAUGAGGCAGUGCAGAAUCACCUAGAAUUCUGUACCUUUAAAAUAGCCUGGGUUAUUCCUUUUUCCCCUAUAGUCUUAUAUAGGGUUUUUAUUAUCCACAGAAUAAUGAAAUAACUGAGUAGAGUCAGCUGUAACUUGCUUCACUGAAAACCGGUGUCCACAACAACUGUGUUUUCCCAGCACACUUAGGAGUGUGUUUUUACACCAUAAGAUGCACUGUUUGUAUAUAUAAGAUUGGACUUCUUUCUUCUUCCUACAGAGGUCUCUAGGACCCUUAUGGACAUCAGUACCACUGAGAACUCUGACAGAAGAGCUGCAGUCUGCCAAAGCACUUGACAGUAAUCUCUGCCUAAGAGCCAUCUCUUCUUCCAGAGUCUGUCCCCCUCAGAGAAGAGCUGGCAGAGUGAGUCGCUUCAAGAUUUAGUUCUGAUGUCUUCAAUGAAUAUGAGAAAUACCCUGGGACUGUCUGAAGGAAUUAGACAGCAAACUUAGCACAGAAGUCUAGGUCUAACACCACUGAGGAAUCAAGCCAUUAUGUGUCAAACCUGGAGGAUGGCAAGCUCGACUCACACAUCUCAGGAAAUCAAUGAAUUGUAAUGGUGACAGGUCUGCCGUGCGUUACAACAUGCUGCAGCCAGGACCCACUGGGUAGGCGCCUGCAAAGAAUAUUUCACCCUUCUGUUCUUCACAUUCACUGCUGAAAGUCCUUUUCUGAUUGACUAUUUUACUUCCCUGGCUUGGGUGGGUGUUGAGUUGGGUGGGGGGAAAAUGGAAUGAAAUGCACCAAGGGCAAGCUAGAGGCUUGUGUC